RNAcentral lists this ribosomal RNA (447 nucleotides) under uncultured bacterium. RNAcentral's name for it is "partial 16S ribosomal RNA". It matches the Rfam family "Bacterial small subunit ribosomal RNA", at positions 28 to 523 of the family's 1533-position model. The record is from RNAcentral.
GACGAACGCUGGCGGCAGGCUUAACACAUGCAAGUCGAACGCAUCGCAAGAUGAGUGGCAGACGGGUGAGUAACGCGUGGGAACAUACCCUUUUCUACGGAAUAGCUCUGGGAAACUGGAAUUAAUACCGUAUACGCCCUACGGGGGAAAGAUUCAUCGGGGAAGGAUUGGCCCGCGUUGGAUUAGCUAGUUGGUGGGGUAAAGGCCUACCAAGGCGACGAUCCAUAGCUGGUCUGAGAGGAUGAUCAGCCACAUUGGGACUGAGACACGGCCCAAACUCCUACGGGAGGCAGCAGUGGGGAAUAUUGGACAAUGGGCGCAAGCCUGAUCCAGCCAUGCCGCGUGGGUGAUGAAGGCCUUAGGGUUGUAAAGCUCUUUCACCGAUGAAGAUAAUGACGGUAGUCGGAGAAGAAGCCCCGGCUAACUUCGUGCCAGCCGCCGCCGUAA